This 748-nucleotide long non-coding RNA is filed under the name Felis catus (domestic cat). RNAcentral describes it as "lncRNA (ENSFCAG00000051815.1)". Lineage: Eukaryota; Metazoa; Chordata; Mammalia; Carnivora; Felidae. The record is from RNAcentral.
AUGUUUCUCAGACACAUCAAGCAAGUCCCAGCCGCAGGGCCUUUGCAUAUGCCUUUCCUCCCUCCAGGAAAAAUCUGUGCCCCUGGCAGAUGCACGGCUUGCUCUCUCUCUUCCUUCGGAUUCCUGCUUCUGUCUCCCAAGAAGAAGAAGGCUUCCUUCGGCAACCGCGACGGGGAUUCAACGCACAUAAAAAGCCAGCAGCCUGUGCCCGGCGCGCCAAGGAGCCACAUGAGAGGAGAGGAGAUUGCAAUUUCUGCCGGAACUUUCUCACAUCCCCGCGUCUGGGGCAAGAAAGUGGCGGAGAGCUGGGGAGGAGCAGGAUGGAGGAGCCUGGGAGAGAGAACACAGGAGGAAAGACAGAGGCUGAAGAGGGAAGGAGCAGGUGGGGGAGUGAGCAGGAGGCAAGGACAAGAGUCACACGAAAAACGAGGGGUGGCAGCCGAGAAAGGCUGGAGGGGCCCCAGGGGGUCUGGAUGCCAGACCUCAGCCAGGGGCUCCUGCAGGGGCUGUACCUCUUCCGGAGCCCCUUCACCCACCCACAGAGUCCGACUGUAAUUGUCCAGCAAGGGCGGCUGGGUGGCUCGGUCGGUUAAGCGACUGACUCUCGGUUUCUGCUCAGGUCCCGAUCUCACGGCUCAUGGGAUCAAGCCCCGCCUUGGGCUCUGUGCUGACAGUGCGGAGCUGCUUGGGAUCCUCUCUCUCCACCGCCUCCCCCCACCCUGUUCCUCCCCUGCUCACUCUCUCAAGA